RNAcentral lists this ribosomal RNA (427 nucleotides) under uncultured anaerobic ammonium-oxidizing bacterium. Its description in RNAcentral is "bacterial SSU rRNA". It matches the Rfam family "Bacterial small subunit ribosomal RNA", at positions 383 to 810 of the family's 1533-position model. The record is from RNAcentral.
CUGACGCAGCGACGCCGCGUGGGGGAGGAAGGCCUUCGGGUUGUAAACCCCUGUUGCCCGGGACGAAUGUGCACUUUAGAGUGCAUUGACGGUACCGGGUGAGGAAGCACCGGCUAACUCCGUGCCAGCAGCCGCGGUAAUACGGAGGGUGCAAGCGUUGUCCGGAAUCACUGGGCGUAAAGGGCGCGUAGGCGGCUCAUAAAGGCUGUGGUGAAAGUUCGGGGCUCAACCUCGAAUCGGCCGUGGCGACUUGUGGGCUGGAGCACUGUAGAGGCAGGUGGAAUUCCGGGUGUAGCGGUGGAAUGCGUAGAGAUCCGGAAGAACACCAGUGGCGAAGGCGGCCUGCUGGGCAGUGGCUGACGCUGAGGCGCGACAGCGUGGGGAGCAAACAGGAUUAGAUACCCUGGUAGUCCACGCCGUAAACGAU